This 251-nucleotide ribosomal RNA is filed under the name uncultured bacterium. Its description in RNAcentral is "partial 16S ribosomal RNA". It matches the Rfam family "Bacterial small subunit ribosomal RNA", at positions 524 to 776 of the family's 1533-position model. The record is from RNAcentral.
GACAGAGGCCCCAAGCGUUAGGCGGAAUCACUGGGCUUAAAGCGUGUGUAGGCGGAUCGUUAAGUGUCUUGUGAAAUCCCACGGCUCACCCGUGGAACUGCUGGGCAUACUGGCGAUCUUGGGCCAACUAGGGGCAGCCGGAACAAGCGGUGGAGCGGUGAAAUGCGUAGAUAUCGCUUGGAACGCCGAAGGUGAAAACAGGCUGCUGGGGGUAGUGCGCGCUGAGACGAGAAGCCGGUGGGAGAAACAGG